UUCUAAGCUAGGGACUGCUGUCCAGUUGUCCCCUGUCAUCAGGACUUGCAAGGCAAGUAGGCAGGGCCAGGGGUGAGGGUGGAGCGCAGUGGUCACUAUCCUCCCCCCUGUGUCUGUGUGUGCGUGACCGUUACAGGAGAUGGGGCCAUGAUCCAGUGAGGGAUUCUGAGUGUAGAUCUGGAGUCAGGAAGGAAAUUCUUUCCCUAAGUGUCUCUCUCCAUCCAGAAUUACACCGUAGUGAAGAAGACAUCGGGGGUGACUCCCAUCAUCCAUGAGUCAGGAGGGUGGAGCAGGACCCCCAUCACAGAGCCUCCCCCACUGAUACAUAAGCAGAAGAUCCUACAACUCACCCACAAGAUGAUGGAGCUACUGACUGGAGAGGUUCCUGUAAGGUGUCAGGAUGUGUCGGUCUAUUUCUCCAUGGAGGAGUGGGAGUAUCUAGAAGGACACAAGGAUCUGUACAAGGACGCCAUGAUGGAGGCUCCCCGGCCUCUAAUAUCACCAGAUAGAUCCAGGAGGAGAAAUCCCCCCGAGAGAUGUCCCCGUCCUCUAUAUUCCCAGG
Long non-coding RNA from Bufo gargarizans (Asiatic toad), 562 nucleotides. RefSeq lists it as uncharacterized. The transcript has 3 exons. The record is from RefSeq and is a predicted model, not a curated record. NCBI's taxonomy places the organism in Eukaryota, Metazoa, Chordata, Amphibia, Anura, Bufonidae.